UGUGACUUGUGUCAGGAUUCGGAUGCAACACCAUGCAAAACCCCGAAACAGCUGCUCUGCCGUCCAUCUACUGGGAACCGAGUAGGGUCUCAAGAUGUGUCCUUGGAGUCCUCGCAGGCAGUUGGGAAAAUGCAGAGCACCCAAACCACCAGUACAUCCAACAGCACCAACAAAUCUCAGCACGGAUCAGCAAGGCUCUUCCGUUCUUCCAGCAAAGGCUUCCAAGGUACAACUCAAACAAGCCAUGGUUCCUUGAUGACAAGCAAACAACAUCAAGGCAAAUCAAAUAAUCAGUAUUAUGGCAAAAAGAGGAAACACAAGAGGGAUGGCCCCCUCUCAGACCUUUGUAGAUAGUCGGCGUUGUACGAUGGACUAUCUUCUGCGUGCAGUGAUCUCAUGCUCAGGACAGUUGGAUAGGGACUCCUGGGAGACAUUUGGGAGCCUUACAUACUGUUCAGACUUUGAUUUAGCAACUGAGUUUUUUCCCAGCUCGCCACGGAAUGGAUCAUGAAGACUGACAACUGCAAAAACAAAAAGCAAGCAAAAAGGGGGGGAAAGGCUGAUCAUUUGAUAAGUCAUAUGCUACAACAGGGUCAUUUUAAGAUUUAAGGCUUGAAUGUGAAAUAUAUUUCUCAUUGGCUUUAUGCAGAGUUAUAGGGAAUAGUAUUCAGUGUGGGUAGGGUGAUAGAAACAAAAAAACAAUUUCAGAGGAUGGGGUGGGAAAGGAUUACAAAGGUAUCUCAUAAGAAGUCCAGAUUCCAAAGGGGAAAGUGAUCUGUGCAUGCUUUUUUAAAAAAUAUUUUUGCAUAUAUUUACCAUUUUAUUGUGUGUAUAUAUAGAUGACCAUAUAGGAAAUUGAUAUUUGUAAUAGUGGAUUUGUUAAUACUUUUUACAUAACAUUACUGUUUAAAUUGUAAACAGAUUUUUCUCAGGAUUAGUUUGAAAAAUAAUAUGAAUUGUCAUCUUAACAUCCAUAUAUAGGGAAGUGAUUAGUUCUAUUACUCAAUUUGUUUUCCUCAGCAUUGAAAUGACUUAAUAGAACCCUUGUGACCUGCUGCAAAAAUUUUUCCUCUCUAACGAAAAGAUUUAUGGUGGCAAAUGACAUUUUAUUUUGUAAAAAAAAAAAAAAAGAAAAAAAAAGAAUACUAUGUACUUUUGUGUAAACACUGAAAAAUCUCUAGUCAUCUCUGAAUUAACUUGCAACUGUUUUCUAUAGUGCUGUCGUCUUGGGCAAUGAGUGGGCAAUUACAUGACUUUGUGUUUGUUUCCUUUGCAGUCUUUUUUUUUCUUCUUCUUCUUUUUUCUUCCUAAUAGGGAAAAAAAAGGCCACCCCUAUCUGGUCCUGUCGCAGUGAGACCUGAGGUUGCCCAGACCUUGCAUGCUGGCUCCUCUGACCUUGUGUUCUCCUUGAGCUUGUUCUUCCCAUCUCUCUUCUUUUUUAAAUUCAUGCUGAACUGCUGUGGGAGAGAAUAACUGUAAACAGCUUUAAUUAAAUCACACCUAUAAAAAACUAUUUUCUUAUACUCCACUUUAUGCUUUUGGUAUUGUUGAUCUUUAAAAAUUAAAUGGUCUUUGAUAAUGGGUCUAUUUUGUAUUGCCUUAUUAAGACCAAAUACUUCUUGUCAUCCCAUUCUUUAUCCUCUCCUUUCGUGGAGUUGUUACCUUUAAUUAAAAUUUUUUUAAACAUUGGUUUGUUUCAAUCAUACUGUAAAUUUUGGUUGUGGUCAUCUUUGAGAGCAAAUGAGAUGUGUAAUUCUGUUAUUCACCACAUGUUGAGUUUGAAACUCAGCUGGGAAUAUUUAAUAUAAUAGAAUGUAAGUGAUAUUUCUGAAAAUGCUUACUCUCAAGGUGAAAGCUCUUAAGUUUAGCAUAAGUGUGUGUGUGGCUCUGUUAAUUAUGGCCAUUUCUGAAAUGAGAUUCUUUUAUAUAUUUAUCCAUAUAAAAUACUAUUGGCUUUUAGGAAUUUCUUUUAUAUACAUUUAUGAAAUACUGAAUACCAAUCAGACCAUUAAAUGGACACUUAGUGCAACUUUUUAUAAAGAAAAUAAUGCUAAAGUAAGACCAAAACUGAUGUCAUCAAUGAAAUUAACAAUUUCAAUAUGUUCAUAUUUUAAUUCACAACAGAAAAAUGUGUUCCAAAACUGGAAACUCAUAAUACUUGUGUAAACCAUGGAAAUUUUAAAUGUGAUGUUAUUUUGACAAUGUUUAAAAUUUUAGAGUCAUAUUUUAUUCUGAUCAGAAUUUUUAUCAAGAUGUUGAGCUUUUGUUUUUUGAAAACUAGUUUUGUCAUAACGUAUUGUGCAUAAUCACAGUAUUUAUUUUCUAGGACUAUUGUGAAUGUGUAGACUUAUGUUUACUGCUAAGGGAACAAUUAUUUAUAAAAUAAUAUUAAAUCCAGUAUUAGCUGCCUAUUUCAGAUGAACACUUAAUACUUGCAGAGAUCCAUGUUACAUUUACCACACUGAAGUUUUGUUUUUUUUAAGAAUCACCCUCAUUGUUGAAAGUAAAUGUACUCUUAGGGUGCGGAUAUUAGUGUUCCAAUAAGCAUGUGAUUAUAUUAAGGUGGUGGUAGCGGGAAGAUAAUCUUGAUUCCAUUGGGAAUCUUAGGUUUUCGUAAAUUUAUUGGGAAAAUAGUUUUUCCUGUAUUGCUGAAGUUUCUUUUUGGUAAACAGUAUCUUUCUAAAAGAAAAAGCAUGAAGGAGAAAUUGAGGUGUGUACAUUUCCUCAAAUGACCAGCAUUGUAUUUGUGAAUACUGUGUAUCUUGCAAUGAACAGUGUGGAAGCUGUUCAUUUUUCAAUCUGAAGUAAAAUACUUUCAAGAA
Non-coding RNA from Manis javanica (Malayan pangolin), 2822 nucleotides. Lineage: Eukaryota; Metazoa; Chordata; Mammalia; Pholidota; Manidae. The record is from RefSeq and is a predicted model, not a curated record.